AACUGCUCCACCUCUCCCACCUCCUCUCCAGCUUUGACAUUCCGGUCCACUUCGUCGGCAGUGCCACCCACAACCGCCAAGCCAAACUCCGGCGGGUUCACAACGAUGAAACCAGCCACCCAAUCCAAUUCCACGACUUUGACAUCCUUCCAUAUCCAUGUCCUCCACCGAAUCCGACCGCAACCCAUAAAUUCCCCUCCCACCUCAUUCCCUCCUUUACUGCCGCUGCCAACCACCUCCAUCGCCCUCUUGCCACAUUCCUCCACACCCUCUCGUCAAAAGCAAAACGUGUGGUCGUCAUCCAUGACUCGCUAAUGUCAUCUGCCUUACAAGGUGUGGACACCAUUUCCAACACUGAAUCCUACACCUUCCACACUGUAUCCGCCUUCGCCGUCGCUCUCCAUAGCUUGGAGCGUCAAGGGCUUGUAAUCGGCUCAAGCAACGAUAAAACAACGACGCUUUACUAUGGAUGUUUUGCUAAGGA
RNAcentral lists this unclassified non-coding RNA (484 nucleotides) under Hevea brasiliensis (rubber tree). The record is from RNAcentral. Lineage: Eukaryota; Viridiplantae; Streptophyta; Magnoliopsida; Malpighiales; Euphorbiaceae.